Molecule: ribosomal RNA, 253 nt
Filed under: uncultured bacterium
Lineage: Bacteria
Description: partial 16S ribosomal RNA
Rfam family: Bacterial small subunit ribosomal RNA
Source: RNAcentral
UACGGGGGGGGCAAGCGUUGUUCGGAAUUACUGGGCGUAAAGGGUUCGUAGGUGGCUUGUUAAGGCAGACGUGAAAUCCCUCGGCUCAACCGGGGAACUGCGUCUGAGACUGAUGAGCUCGAGUGCAGGAGAGGAACGCGGAAUUCCAGGUGUAGCGGUGAAAUGCGUAGAUAUCUGGAGGAACACCGGUGGCGAAGGCGGCGUUCUGGACUGCAACUGACACUGAGGAACGAAAGCCAGGAGAGCAAACGGG